AUGAACGGUCAUAUCACGUAAACUGCACCCGGUCUCGUCCGAUCCCGGAAGUUAAGCUGCGUCGAGUCCAGCCAGUAGUACGGUGCGUGAGCACGUGCGAAGCCUGGGUACUGUUCGU
This 118-nucleotide ribosomal RNA is filed under the name Hydrurus foetidus. Lineage: Eukaryota; Chrysophyceae; Hydrurales; Hydruraceae. The record is from RNAcentral.